RNAcentral lists this ribosomal RNA (1443 nucleotides) under Metamycoplasma orale. RNAcentral describes it as "16S ribosomal RNA". It matches the Rfam family "Bacterial small subunit ribosomal RNA". The record is from RNAcentral. Lineage: Bacteria; Bacillati; Mycoplasmatota; Mycoplasmoidales; Metamycoplasmataceae.
GAUGAACGCUGGCUGUGUGCCUAAUACAUGCAUGUCGAGCGGAAGUAGCAAUACUUUAGCGGCGAAUGGGUGAGUAACACGUGCUUAAUCUACCUUUUAGAUUGGAAUACCUAAUGGAAACAUUGGUUAAUGCCGGAUACGCAUGAAGUCGCAUGACUUCGUUGUGAAAGGAGCGUUUGCUCCGCUAAGAGAUGAGGGUGCGGAACAUUAGCUAGUUGGUGAGGUAAUGGCCCACCAAGGCUAUGAUGUUUAGCCGGGUCGAGAGACUGAACGGCCACAUUGGGACUGAGAUACGGCCCAAACUCCUACGGGAGGCAGCAGUAGGGAAUAUUCCACAAUGAGCGAAAGCUUGAUGGAGCGACACAGCGUGCACGAUGAAGGCCCUCGGGUUGUAAAGUGCUGUUGCAAGGGAAGAACAGUUAGUUGAGGAAAUGCUUCUAAUCUGACGGUACCUUGUUAGAAAGCGAUGGCUAACUAUGUGCCAGCAGCCGCGGUAAUACAUAGGUCGCAAGCGUUAUCCGGAAUUAUUGGGCGUAAAGCGUUCGUAGGCUGUUUAUUAAGUCUGGAGUCAAAUCCCAGGGCUCAACCCUGGCUCGCUUUGGAUACUGGUAAACUAGAGUUAGAUAGAGGUAAGCGGAAUUCCAUGUGGAGCGGUGAAAUGCGUAGAUAUAUGGAAGAACACCAAAGGCGAAGGCAGCUUACUGGGUCUAUACUGACGCUGAGGGACGAAAGCGUGGGGAGCAAACAGGAUUAGAUACCCUGGUAGUCCACGCUGUAAACGAUGAUCAUUAGUCGGUGGAAAACUACUGACGCAGCUAACGCAUUAAAUGAUCCGCCUGAGUAGUAUGCUCGCAAGAGUGAAACUUAAAGGAAUUGACGGGGACCCGCACAAGCGGUGGAGCAUGUGGUUUAAUUUGAAGAUACGCGGAGAACCUUACCCACUCUUGACAUCCCCUGCAAAGCUAUAGAGAUAUAGUAGAGGUUAACAGGGUGACAGAUGGUGCAUGGUUGUCGUCAGCUCGUGUCGUGAGAUGUUUGGUCAAGUCCUGCAACGAGCGCAACCCCUAUCUUUAGUUACUAACGAGUCAUGUCGAGGACUCUAGAGAUACUGCCUGGGUAACCGGGAGGAAGGUGGGGAUGACGUCAAAUCAUCAUGCCUCUUACGAGUGGGGCUACACACGUGCUACAAUGGUCGGUACAAAGAGAAGCAAUAUGGCGACAUGGAGCAAAUCUCAAAAAGCCGAUCUCAGUUCGGAUUGAAGUCUGCAAUUCGACUUCAUGAAGUCGGAAUCGCUAGUAAUCGCAGAUCAGCUACGCUGCGGUGAAUACGUUCUCGGGUCUUGUACACACCGCCCGUCACACCAUGGGAGCUGGUAAUACCCAAAGUCGGUUUGCUAACCUCGGAGGCGACUGCCUAAGGUAGGACUGGUGACUGGGGUGAAG